Molecule: ribosomal RNA, 445 nt
Filed under: uncultured bacterium
Lineage: Bacteria
Description: partial 16S ribosomal RNA
Rfam family: Bacterial small subunit ribosomal RNA
Source: RNAcentral
GUGAGGAAUAUUGGUCAAUGGGCGAAAGCCUGAACCAGCCAUGUCGCGUGAAGGAUGAAGGUCCUAUGGAUUGUAAACUUCUUUUGCAGGAGGGUAAAGUGAGCUACGUGUAGUUCAUUGCAAGUACCCUGCGAAUAAGCAUCGGCUAACUCCGUGCCAGCAGCCGCGGUAAUACGGAGGAUGCGAGCGUUAUCCGGAUUUAUUGGGUUUAAAGGGUGCGUAGGCGGACUAAUUAGUCAGCGGUGAAAUUUUGCGGCUCAACCGUAAAACUGCCGUGGAAGCUGUUAGUCUUGGGUGGGGUAGAGGUAGGCGGAAUGUGGGGUGUAGCGGUGAAAUGCUUAGAUAUCACACAGAACACCGAUUGCGUAGGCAGCUUACUGGAGCGCAACUGACGCUGAGGCACGAAAGCGUGGGGAUCGAACAGGAUUAGAAACCCCAGUAGUCC